This 2265-nucleotide long non-coding RNA is filed under the name Monodon monoceros (narwhal). RNAcentral describes it as "lncRNA (ENSMMNG00015003227.1)". Lineage: Eukaryota; Metazoa; Chordata; Mammalia; Artiodactyla; Monodontidae. The record is from RNAcentral.
CCAGAAUCAGAAUCUACCAUCUCCAUAAAAAAUAAAUAAAAUAUAUGGAGAUGGUGAACCUUAUAUAAAAAUCACAGUAUACGCCAAACAUUUCAGACUUUUCAUUUCAAACAUUGCUGAAGUCCAGGCAAAUCUAUAGAAUGGAUGAAGACUUUAAAACAAUGGUUAAUACAUUUGAAGAAUACCCACAGGAAGCAUGAAGGAAUCUGGGGAGAGUUAAAAAGAUAAGCACUGUACUUUCAAGUGCUAUUUACCCUUAAAAGGUAAAUGUCCCUCAUGAAGGGUUCUUUGAACCUUUGGAGGCAAUAUUAUGAAAUAAGUUUGAAACUUCGGCCACAGUUUGUUGUUCUGGUAAAACGAAAAUAAUGUACCUCGAUAAUAAUUCCCAUGCUCGCCUGGAUCGGGCUUGAGGAAGUUGAGGGGCCAUUAUGCGGCUGAGCCAUAGCUGCACGGGGCAGGGCCGGACCUCAAGGGGUCUCCUCCCUUUGCCCCCAAAGUCAGCGGGGAACAGCCGCUGCCCGGCAGGAGCCUGGCCCUGGUGGGUGAAGUCGUGAACCCCGGAAACUCCGACCAAAGAGCAUCGGCAAGAACAGAGCUGGUCCCCACAAACCUCCCAGCAUCCAGGGGAGGGUCACACAGCGGCUCUGGAAGGAUUCCUGCGAGUUCCUCUGGUUCACACCCCACUCUUUGACCCUCUCCUCUUCUGGUUGGACAAUAGUUAAAGCCUCACGUCGAGGAGACAAAGCAGAAGCUGGAGCAUGAGUUCUGCUUAAGUUACUUUGGUAACUAAAGAGUACCAGAAAUCUCAAGACUCAAUACCAAGGCUGAAGAAGCAAGUUUGAAAAUGGACCAAAAGCAAUGGAAGCCAAAAAGAUAACUCUGGUAGCCAUGUGGAGGACAGAUUGGAAGGAGACGAAUAUAGACUUAAGAGGACCAAUUAGAAGGGUACUGUACUUGAUCAGACACUUUACCACAGGAUUGUGUCCCCUAAAAGAAGAGAAAGAAAUCGGCUGAGCCAGGAAUAGCUUUCUGCCUGGAGGCAUUUUCCAGCGGGAGCUCAAGCACAGGAGACCAAGCAGAGGGAGCUGUCGUCCUGAACUGAGGAAAGAGAGGUCAGUGGCUGUUCCGGUGGCUGAAGCAUCUAGGCAGCUGCACAGGAAGAAAGCUCUAGAAAUCAUCAUGAGGAUAUUUAAAUGUAUGCUGUGCUUGCAACACUGAGGCCACGCUAGAAAUGCCCUCCCAAGCUUAAAAGCAAGCCUUUAGACUUGAGGAAAUGUGACAGAAACUAAAAUAGAUUUGGAGCUAGCAAAACAAAAAAUUCCCAGUAUGAUUUCUUCUUUGAUCUGUUAUUGAGAUGCCUAUUUAUAAAUUUCCAAACAUAUGGACUCUUUCGUUAUCUUUGCCUUGUUGAUCUCUAACUUAGUAACACUGUACUGAGAUAACGUGGUUGGUAUAAUGUUUGAUUUACUGAAAUAUGUUGCAGCUUGUCCUACGGCUUAAUAUAUUAUCAUUUUUGGCAACUGAUUAAUGCGUGUUUGAGAAGAAUGUAGACUCUCUAAAUUGUAGUCUGAACUACAGAUAUACAUUUGCCAGUAUAUCUGGUUACCUUUAAGAAUAAGAGAUGCAUACUUGGAUUUUUUAAUGUCAAUAAAAAUCAGUAACCUUACCCUUUCGGAACGGUCUCACCUUCAGCUGUGGGUAGCUUAAGUUGGAAACAUGAGAGAAGAGCAUAUACUAGCUGGCAAGGUCACAUGUCCACACCUGUGGCUACCUGGUCUCCCAAAUGCUGCUGAUGUUAUUUCCAGUUGUAUCUAGACCUCAGAAAACACACAAAAAAGUCAAGAGAAUUAGAAAGCCCUUCAACAGAGCGGAAGGUAGCUGUGACAAAUAGACAUUUCAAUAGGGGGAAGAAAAAGCUAUUAAGAUAAACUGAAGAUCAAAGUGUCUGAAAGUUUCCUUAAUACUGAGUUGACUAAAAUAGUUUAGAAGAGAUAAAGGUUUACAUAAAGAAGCAUAAAUCUCCAAAGAGAAUUGACUCAAUUUUGCAGUUGAGUGGCGGGCGUGCUAAUAUUUGGUGGAUGAGAUUCAGAGGCGCAAAGGAAAGGCAUUGUCCUGGGAGAUGCCCUAACUUUCCUACAGUCCUGGGAUCAUCAGUGUAAAGAAUGAGACUGUGAAGUAGUCCUGACAACAAGCUCCUUCUGCCCCUCAGGAUUUAGACCACAGUCUAAGCCGCAUUGUCCAAUACGAUAGCAGGGAGGCCACAGG